GAUGAACGCUGGCGGCGGGCUUAACACAUGCAAGUCGAAGGAAGGACUGGGGGUUACUUCCUAUGGGAGAGGGCAACUGGUGACCGAGUGGCGGACGGGUGACCAACGCGCGCGUAACCACCCUAUUACAGGGGGAAAACAGGAGGAAACGCGUGCGAAGACCGCAGACGGGCACCGCAUCGCAUGAAGCAGUGGGAAAAACUGCGGGGGGAUAAGACGGAGCCGCGUGGGGGCAGCUGGACGGCGGGGUGACGGCCCACCGAGGCGGCGAUCGGUAGGGGUUCUGGGCGGAAGGUCCCCCGCACUGGAACUGAGACACGGUCCAGACGCCUACGGGAGGCAGCAGUGAGGAAUAUUGGUCAAUGGGCGUAAGCCUGAACCAGCCAAGUAGCGUGCAGGAUGACGGCCCUAUGGGUUGUAAACUGCUUUUAUGCGGGGAUAAAGUGGCCCACGUGUGGGUUUUUGCAGGUACCGCAUGAAUAAGGACCGGCUAAUUCCGUG
This 501-nucleotide ribosomal RNA is filed under the name uncultured bacterium. RNAcentral describes it as "partial 16S ribosomal RNA". It matches the Rfam family "Bacterial small subunit ribosomal RNA", at positions 28 to 507 of the family's 1533-position model. The record is from RNAcentral.